Molecule: ribosomal RNA, 581 nt
Filed under: Alcaligenes sp. OCC46
Lineage: Bacteria; Pseudomonadati; Pseudomonadota; Betaproteobacteria; Burkholderiales; Alcaligenaceae
Description: partial 16S ribosomal RNA
Rfam family: Bacterial small subunit ribosomal RNA
Source: RNAcentral
ACAGGGGAGARACAUAUGGGCRACCUGGCCCAKWRACUGGGGUUACUUCCUCAAAACAGUGCUAAUACCCGAUAACRUUUUAUCUUGGAUAGGGGAGGAUUGAAAGACGGCUCCCGCUUGGASCGACCGAUAUCSCAUUAGCUAGUUGGYGAGGUAAAGGCUCACCAAGGUCACGAUCCGUAGCUGGWUUGAGAGGAUGACCAGCCWCACUGGGACUGAGACACGGCCCASACUCCUACGGGAGGCAGCAGAGGGGAAUUUUGGACAAUGGGGGAAACCCUGAUCCASUGAUCCCGCGUGUAUGAUGAAAGCCUUCGGGUUUUCGGUACUUUUGGUCUGUUGAAGGGAAUCCCCUAAUACGGGAUACUGCUGACGGUAUCUGCGAAUAARCMCCAAAUAACUACCUGCCUACRUGCGCGCAAAUACGGUAGGAGCUAGCGUUAAUCSGAAUUACUGAAUUUUUGGCGUGAGAGSGCGCGUCGGAGAKAUCUAUGUUCUGAUGUGWGASUCCACCUUUCAACUGUGUUUUUAACUGGCRAACUGGAGAACUUGAGAGGGGGGUAGAAUUCCGGAAUUCCCCG